GACGAACGCUAGCGAUAGGCCUAACACAUGCAAGUCGAGGGGCAUCACAUGAAGUAGCAAUACGGAUGGUGGCGACCGGCGCACGGGUGAGUAACACGUAUGCAACCUGCCUUCAACAAGGGGAUAACCCGUUGAAAGACGGACUAAUACCCUAUAACACAGGGGUCCCGCAUGGGAAUAUUUGUUAAAGGACAACCGGUUGAAGAUGGGCAUGCGUUCCAUUAGCUAGUUGGCGGGGUAACGGCCCACCAAGGCAACGAUGGAUAGGGGAACUGAGAGGUUUAUCCCCCACACUGGUACUGAGACACGGACCAGACUCCUACGGGAGGCAGCAGUGAGGAAUAUUGGUCAAUGGACGCAAGUCUGAACCAGCCACGUCGCGUGAAGGAAGACGGCCCUACGGGUUGUAAACUUCUUUUAACGGGAAUAAAGUGCCCCACGCGUGGGGUUUUGCAUGUACCGUAUGAAUAAGGAUCGGCUAACUCCGUG
Molecule: ribosomal RNA, 489 nt
Filed under: uncultured bacterium
Lineage: Bacteria
Description: bacterial SSU rRNA
Rfam family: Bacterial small subunit ribosomal RNA
Source: RNAcentral